CCUACGGGUGGCAGCAGUGAGGAAUCUUGGUCAAUGGGCGCGAGCCUGAACCAGCCAAGUAGCGUGAAGGAUGACUGCCCUACGGGUUGUAAACUUCUUUUAUAAAGGAAUAAAGUGAGGCACGUGUGCCUUUUUGUCUGUACUUUAUGCAUAAGGAUCGGCUACCUCCGUUCCAGCAGCCGCGGUACUACGGAGGAUCCGAGCGUUAUCCGGAUUUGUUUGGUUUAAAGGGAGCGUAGAUGGGUUGUUAAGUCAGUUGUGAAAUUUUGCGGCUUAACCGUAAAAUUGCAAUUGAUACUGGCAGUCUUGAGUACAGGUGAGGUAGGCGGAAUUCGUGGUGUAGCGGUGAAAUGCUUAGAUAUCACGAAGAACUCCGAUUGCGAAGGCAGCUUACUAAACUGCCACUGACGUUGAGGCUCGAAAGUGUGGGUAUCAAACAGGAUUAGAUACCCCUGUAGUC
RNAcentral lists this ribosomal RNA (460 nucleotides) under uncultured bacterium. RNAcentral describes it as "partial 16S ribosomal RNA". It matches the Rfam family "Bacterial small subunit ribosomal RNA", at positions 338 to 795 of the family's 1533-position model. The record is from RNAcentral.